RNAcentral lists this ribosomal RNA (251 nucleotides) under uncultured prokaryote. Its description in RNAcentral is "partial 16S rRNA". It matches the Rfam family "Bacterial small subunit ribosomal RNA", at positions 525 to 775 of the family's 1533-position model. The record is from RNAcentral.
ACGGAGGGUGCAAGCGUUAUUCGGAAUUACUGGGCGUAAAGCGCGUGUAGGCGGUCCUGCAAGUCUGAUGUGAAAGCCCCGGGCUUAACCCGGGAAGUGCAUUGGAAACUGCAGGUCUUGAGUACUGGAGAGGAUGGGGGAAUUCCCGGUGUAGAGGUGAAAUUCGUAGAUAUCGGGAGGAAUAUCGAUGGCGAAGGCGGCCAUCUGGACUAUAACUGACGCUGAUACGCGAAAGCGUGGGUAGCAAACAG